RNAcentral lists this ribosomal RNA (253 nucleotides) under uncultured bacterium. RNAcentral describes it as "partial 16S ribosomal RNA". It matches the Rfam family "Bacterial small subunit ribosomal RNA", at positions 524 to 776 of the family's 1533-position model. The record is from RNAcentral.
UACGUAGGGGGCGAGCGUUGUCCGGAUUUAUUGGGCGUAAAGAGCGUGUAGGCGGCCACGCAGGUCCGUUGUGAAAACUGGAGGCUCAACCUCCAGCUGUCGACGGAAACCGUAUGGCUAGAGUCCGGAAGAGGAGAGUGGAAUUCCUGGUGUAGCGGUGAAAUGCGCAGAUAUCAGGAAGAACACCAAUGGCGAAGGCAGCUCUCUGGGACGGUACUGACGCUGAGACGCGAAAGCGUGGGGAGCAAACAGG